AGAGUUAAACAGUAUGUGAAAUUGUUGAAAGGGAAACGAUUAAAGUCAGUCGUACUAACGGGGAAUCAACCAUCUGAGUGUGAAUUCGCGAGAUGCAAAGAGCCUUUGUUUUUGUGAUAUUCGUAUCUUUUUUGGUGCACUUUUUCGUAUUGUAGGUUAGCAUCGGUUUUGAUAGUUAUAAAAUGACCGGAGGAAUGUAGCUUCGAUCUCGGUUGAAGUGUUAUAGCCUUUGGUAGAUGUAACGAUCGAGACCGAGGAUUGCAAUGAAUACCCUCAUGGGCUAUUCGUCUGACUUCUGAUACGUCACUUUGGUGUCGAAAGCUUGCUUAUGAUGUUAAAGUGUGCGGUCAAAAGGUUAGAACGGAUUAAAUUCGUUAAGGAUGCUGACGUAAUGGCUUUAAACGA
Molecule: unclassified non-coding RNA, 405 nt
Filed under: uncultured Glomeromycotina
Lineage: Eukaryota; Fungi; Glomeromycota
Description: sequence contains 28S rRNA gene
Source: RNAcentral